UACGUAGGGGGCGAGCGUUGUCCGGAUUUAUUGGGCGUAAAGAGCGUGUAGGCGGCCAGGUAGGUCUGCUGUGAAAACUCGAGGCUCAACCUCGAGACGUCGGCGGAAACCCUCUGGCUAGAGUCCGGAAGAGGAGAGUGGAAUUCCUGGUGUAGCGGUGAAAUGCGCAGAUAUCAGGAAGAACACCCGUGGCGAAGGCGGCUCUCUGGGACGGUACUGACGCUGAGACGCGAAAGCGUGGGGAGCAAACAGG
RNAcentral lists this ribosomal RNA (253 nucleotides) under uncultured bacterium. RNAcentral describes it as "partial 16S ribosomal RNA". It matches the Rfam family "Bacterial small subunit ribosomal RNA", at positions 524 to 776 of the family's 1533-position model. The record is from RNAcentral.